UACGUAGGUGGCAAGCGUUGUCCGGAUUUACUGGGCGUAAAGAGCGCGCAGGCGGUCGUUCAAGUCGCGUGUGAAAGCCCUGGGCUCAACCUGGGAAUUGCAUUGGAUACUGGCAGGCUAGAGUGCGGUAGAGGAUGGCGGAAUUCCCGGUGUAGCAGUGAAAUGCGUAGAGAUCGGGAGGAACACCAGUGGCGAAGGCGGCUUUCUGGCCUGUUCUUGACGCUGAGGCGCGAAAGCUAGGGGAGCAAACGGG
This 253-nucleotide ribosomal RNA is filed under the name uncultured bacterium. Its description in RNAcentral is "partial 16S ribosomal RNA". It matches the Rfam family "Bacterial small subunit ribosomal RNA", at positions 524 to 776 of the family's 1533-position model. The record is from RNAcentral.